UUCCAACUACCGAUGCUUAUCUUUAUAAGGCACGAGCUGGGGUUAGAGAGAUUCACUUCCUCCCCUUCAAUCCAACUGACAAAAGGACUGCCCUGACAUAUUUGGAUGCCAAUGGCAAAAUGCAUAGAGUUAGCAAAGGUGCACCAGAACAGGUACAAAAUCAGAACCUUCCAAACAGACACAGGCUCUCACUUUUAUUCUAUCAAGACAUCUGAACUCUUCGUGGCGUAAUUUGCAUUGCAAUACUCAGAUUCUCAACCUGGCAUAUAACAAAUCAGAAAUCGCCAGUAAGGUUCAUGCGAUCAUCGACAAAUUUGCAGAACGCGGAUUGAGAUCCCUUGGAGUUGCCCACCAGGUGAAUUACCAUCUAUGAUCCAAAUAAAAGAACACAAUUUCCAUGCUAGUCAUUCUGAAUCAAUGGAACAACUCACUCUGAUUGCAGCAAGUUCCUAACGGGGAUAAGGACAGCACAGGUGGACCAUGGGAAUUUGUUGGCCUCCUACCCCUCUUCGACCCUCCUCGUCAUGACAGUGCUGAAACAAUUAGAAGAGCUUUAGAUCUAGGCGUCAGUGUUAAAAUGAUUACAGGUGACCAGCUAGCCAUUGGCAAAGAGACAGGAAGGAGGCUUGGAAUGGGAACAAAUAUGUAUCCAUCUACAGCUCUGCUUGGUGAGGGUGGCAAUGAAGCAACCGGCUCUCUACCUAUUGAUGAACUCAUUGAGAAAGCUGAUGGCUUUGCUGGAGUGUUCCCAGGUACAUUUUUAUUUCCCUUUCUAUGUUCUAACAACUGCAACUCCAUGAACUUUGACCAAUCAAACACUGACUAAGUUUGUUCACAUGUAUACAGAACAUAAGUACGAGAUUGUGAGGAGACUUCAAGCCAGAAAGCAUAUUUGUGGAAUGACAGGAGAUGGGGUGAACGAUGCACCUGCUCUCAAGAAAGCCGACAUUGGUAUUGCUGUGGCGGAUUCCACUGAUGCAGCAAGAAGCGCUUCUGAUAUAGUCCUGACAGAACCUGGUCUCAGCGUCAUCAUUAGUGCUGUCUUGACUAGCCGCUCCAUCUUCCAGAGAAUGAAGAAUUACACAGUAAAAUCGUCUCCUUGCUGCUAAUAUUGCAACCUCACAAAGAUACACUAACCACUUCUCUUACCUUCAAACCAUUUGAAUGUUUC
Molecule: long non-coding RNA, 1171 nt
Filed under: Linum usitatissimum (flax)
Lineage: Eukaryota; Viridiplantae; Streptophyta; Magnoliopsida; Malpighiales; Linaceae
Description: long non-coding RNA (LUSI_LNC007429)
Source: RNAcentral